Molecule: ribosomal RNA, 760 nt
Filed under: uncultured bacterium
Lineage: Bacteria
Description: bacterial SSU rRNA
Rfam family: Bacterial small subunit ribosomal RNA
Source: RNAcentral
AACGGUCGGCUUCGGCCGAUAGUGGCGAACGGGUGAGUAACACGUAGGUGACCUGCCCCGAAGUGUGGAAUAACAGUCCGAAAGGAUUGCUAAUACCGCAUGUGGUCUGUGAGGUUAGAGUCUUGCAGACUAAAGCAGUAAUGUGCUUCGGGAGGGGCCUGCGCCCCAUCAGCUAGUUGGUAGGGUAAUGGCCUACCAAGGCAACAACGGGUAGGGGGCCUGAGAGGGUGACCCCCCACAUUGGCACUGACACACGGGCCAAACUCCUACGGGAGGCAGCAGUGAGGAAUAUUGCUCAAUGGGCGAAAGCCUGAAGCAGCAACGCCGCGUGCGCGAUGAAGGCCUUCGGGUCGUAAAGCGCUUUUGAGAGGGACGAGAUAGGACGGUACCUCUUGAAUAAGUCACGGCUAACUACGUGCCAGCAGCCGCGGUAAAACGUAGGUGGCAAGCGUUAUCCGGAUUCACUGGGCGUAAAGCGCGUGCAGGUGGCUUCGUAAGUUGGAUGUUAAAUCUCCCGGCCUAACCGGGAGGAGUCAUUCAAUACUGCGGGGCUCGAGGGCAGAAGAGGGGGGUGGAAUUGCUGGUGUAGUGGUGAAAUGCGUUGAUAUCAUUAGGAACACCUGAGGCGAAAGCAGCUCACUGGGCCUAUCCUGACGCUGAAGUACGAAAGCUAGGGUAGCGAACGGGAUUAGAUACCCCGGUAGUCCUAGCUGUAAACGAUGAGCACUGGGUUGAGGGGACUUCCACACCCUCUCGGCCG